CGCGGCCUAUCAGCUUGUUGGUGAGGUAACGGCUCACCAAGGCAGCGACGGGUAGCUGGUCUGAGAGGACGAUCAGCCACACUGGGACUGAGACACGGCCCAGACUCCUACGGGAGGCAGCAGUAGGGAAUCUUGCGCAAUGGGCGAAAGCCUGACGCAGCAACGCCGCGUGGGGGAUGAAGGCUCUCGGGUUGUAAACCCCUUUCAGCAGGGACGAAAACUGACGGUACCUGCAGAAGAAGCCCCGGCCAACUACGUGCCAGCAGCCGCGGUAAUACGUAGGGGGCAAGCGUUGUCCGGAUUUAUUGGGCGUAAAGAGCUCGUAGGCGGCUCGGUAAGUCGGAUGUGAAACCUCCAGGCUCAACCUGGAGACGCCAUCUGAUACUGCCGUGGCUCGAGGCCGGUAGAGGAGCAGGGAAUUCCUGGUGUAGCGGUGAAAUGCGCAGAUAUCAGGAGGAACACCAGCGGCGAAGGCGCUGCUCUGGGCCGGUACUGACGCUGAGGAGCGAAAGCGUGGGGAGCGAACAGGAUUAGAUACCCUGGUAGUCCACGCCGUAAACGUUGGGCACUAGGUGUGGGACCCCAUCGACGGGUUCUGUGCCGUAGCUAACGCAUUAAGUGCCCCGCCUGGGGAGUACGG
RNAcentral lists this ribosomal RNA (640 nucleotides) under uncultured bacterium. Its description in RNAcentral is "bacterial SSU rRNA". It matches the Rfam family "Bacterial small subunit ribosomal RNA", at positions 232 to 885 of the family's 1533-position model. The record is from RNAcentral.